CCCAGGAAUCACAGUUCCACAAUAAAUGUUUGUUUUGUUCGAUACUGUCCAUCAUUUAUGUCCAUUUAUGUCCAAAUAGCUUCUUUUGUUAGGGCGUUUGGUAAACAAAUCCAAAAGUGGGAUCAGGUCCAGACGGACGAAAAGUUCAAAACGUUAUAUUACAGGUCGAAUACUUGCCAAACUAAGUAUAGAAUCAAUCUUUAGGUUGUUUUUAUCAUAAAUGUUCAAUGAUGUUCCAACCGGAGAAUUGUCUGUAGAAAAUUGUUUCUAGCUCUCUGCCAGACCACUGACUCAAAGAAUUCUCAUCGGGUCCCACUUCACAGUAGAAUCCUGAAAAAACGUUCUAAAGACGGUUGACAUCUAGUGGAAGCCUUAGGAAGUGCAACAUAACCCAUAUCCCACUGUGAAUUUGAUAGGGGCUGAGUUCAAAACUACAAACUUCAGAUUUCCCACUUCCUGUUGCGAUUUUUUCUCAGGUUUUUGCCUACCAUUUUUGCCUGUUUUUGCCUUCUGUUAUACUCACAGACAUCAUUCAAACAGUUAUAGAAACUUCAGAUUGUUUUCUAUCCAAUACUAAUAAUAAUAUGCAUAUAUUAUCAUCUGGGAGGCAGUUUUCUCUGGGCACGCUAUUCAUCCAAAAGUGAAAAUGCUUCCCCCUAUCCCAAAUAAGUUUUUAAUUAAUUCAUCACUGGUGAAUUCAUCACUGUUUUUUCACAAUGUUUGUAACUUAUUUUGGACAUAAUUAUGCAACUACUGUCUCUUAUGACCGAAAAGAGCUUCUGGACAUCAGGACAGCAAUUACUCACCUUGAAUUGGACGAAGAAUUUGUCUUUAAUGAGUCGGAGGAGAGGGAUUUAUUCCAGACACCGAACAAGGCCCUCAUCCUCGUCAUUCGCAGGAGAAAGAGACCGAAAUAUCGCAGAAGGAGAUCGGGGUGCCUGGUAAGGAGCCAGCGACGAGUGACUAAUCUGCCUUUGCCAUCAGUUAUAUUGGCCAACGUACAAUCACUGGAUAAUAAAGUGGACGAACUACAAUAUAUAAACGGGACAUUAAAAACUGUAAUAUCUUAUGUUUCACGAGUCGUGGCUGAAUGACGACAUGAAUAACAUUUAGCUGGUGGGUUAUACACUGUAUCUGCAGGAUUGAACAGCAGCCUCUGGUAAGACAACAGCUGGUGCAUGAUAUCUAAGAAAGUCUCGAGGUUUUGCUCUCCUGAGGUAGAGUAUCUCAUGAUAAUCAAUCAAAUGUAUUUAUAAAGCCCUUUUUACAUCAGCCGAUGUCACAAAGUGCUAUACAGAAACCCAGCCUAAAACCCAAACAAGAAUUGCAGAAGCACGGUGACAAGGAAAAUCUCCCUAGAAAGGCAGGAACCUAGGAAGAAACCUAGAGAGGAAGCAUAAGCUGUAGAUCUACCAAGAGAGUGUAUCUAUAUUCUUCGUAGCUGUUUAUUUACCACCACAAACUGAUGUUGGCACAAAGGCCACACUCAAUAAGCUGUAUACGGCCAUAAGCAAACAGGAAAUCAUUCAUCUAGAGGUGGCUCUCCUAGUGGUCGGGGACUUUAAUGCAGGGAAACUUAAAUCCGUUUGACCUAAUUUCAACCAGCAUGUUAAAUGUGCAACCAGAGGGGAAAACACUGUAAACCACCUUUACUUCACACACAGAGACGCGAAUAAAGCUAUCCCUUGCCCUCCAUUUAGCAAAUCUGACCAUAAUUCUAUCCUGAUUCCUGCUUACAAGCAAAAACUAAAGCAGGAAGCACUAGUGACUCGGUCAGAUGAAGCAGAUGCUAAGCUACAGGGCUGUUUUCCUAGCACAGACUGGAAUAUGUUCCCGGGAUUCUUCCGAUGGCAUUGAGGAGUACACCACAUCAGUCACUGGCUUCAUCAAUAAGUGCAUCAAUGACAUUGUCCCCUCAGUGACUGUAUGUACAUACCCCAACCAUAAGCCAUAGAUUACAGUCAAUGUCCGCACUGAGCUAAAGGGUAGAGCUGUCGCUUUCAAGGAGCGGGACUCUAACUCGGAAGCUUAUAAGAAAUCCCGCUAUGCCCUCAGAUGAACCAUCAAAAAGGCAAAGCAUCAAUACAGGACUAAGAUCGAAUCGUACGACACAGACUCCGACAUUUGUCGGACGUGGCAGGGCUUGCAAACUCUUACAGACUACAAAGGGAAGCACAGCUGCGAGCUGCCCAGUGACAAAAGCCUACCAGUCAAGCUAAAUUAUUUCUAUGUUUGCUUCGCGGCAAGUAAUACUGAAACAUGCAUGAGAGGAUCAGCUUUUCUGGACGACUGUGUGAGUAAGACCUUUAAACAGGUCAGCAUUCACAAGGCCGCAGGGCCAGACGGAUUACCAGGACAUGUACUCCCAGCAUUUGCUGACCAACUGGCAAGUGUCUUCACGGACAUUUUCAACCUCUACCUGUCUGAGUAUGUAAUAUCAAUAUGUUUCAAGCAGACCACCAUAGUCCCUGUGCCCAAGAACACUAAGGUAACCUGCCUAAAUGACUACCGACCGUUAACCAUCACGUGAGGAAUAACAAUAUCCCUAUACUCUCUACACAUGCCAGUUUUAGCCUUAGCCACCACCCUCUUUAGAAUAGCCUUUAUUUCGGUAGCACUGCCCUUCGGGAUGAUUGCUGAUGAUUAUUUUUAAGUCUAGUACUGCCGGUAAUGGAGUCACCAAUGACUAGGGGUUUUCACUUUGUCAGAGCUAAUGGUGGGAGGCUUGGGCGGCUCAGACCCUGUAAUGGAUGGAGGAGAGACCAGAGAAGUCUCGGCCCCUGAAUCCGACUCAUUACUUAAUGGGGAGGACUGAUUGAAAGUUUCUGUCGGCUGAAUGAGCGACACCGGUUGAGCAUGCCGACAGCAUUUCCUUCCAGAAGCCUUGAGAAAAUUGUCUGUCUGUGGAGACUGUGCGAGGCCAUUUAUACUGCUAUCUGUACUUACUGGCGGCACAGACGCUGUUUCAUCCUUUCCUACACUUAAAUUACCAUUGCCUAACGAUUGCAUCUGAAGCUGGGCUUGUAGCAUGGCUAUCCUCACCAUAAGGUGACAAUUUUUCUGUAUAUUAUGAGUGCGGCGACUGCAAUUAGAUGGCAUAGUGUUAAUAUUACUACUUAGCUUUGGCUGGUGGAGGUCCUGGAGAACCAUGUCCAGAUUAAGCUUCCCGGGUGAAAAAGUUGAAUGAAAAAAGUAGAGCGAGGAAAAAACAUAACGUUAUGUGUAAAAUUAAGAUAAUGUGUAAAAUUAAGAUUUUGAUUAAACGGUUAUAGAAAGUAAAAACCAUAAAGUUGGCAUGUAGCCAAGUAGCAACAAAGUAGCAACAAACAGCACAGCAGCACGGAGAAGUGAAAUAAAAAAGUGAAUGCAGCGAUCAGGUUGGUUCCACCAUGCUAAUCAUAGCCACCAUUGAUAAUGCAAUCAGUACUAAUCAGUAAUCAGUACUGUGUGUGUUUGUGUGUGACCGACCAGUAUCUUUGAUGAGGGCACAGAAGAUGAUCUACGCUGCCAUGCCCAUAAAUGGGGUGCUGGCAAAGAGCUCAACGUUGUCGAUGGGGAGAACAGAAUUAGAUGCGUCAAUGGAGCCAGCACUUGCAAACCUGCAAGAUGAUGUGAUGGAGUCCUGAUCGACAGACAGGCUUGAUGCUGAUGUCUCUGAAUGGAGACAGGCCUUGCACUCAACACAUCCACAAUGUGGGACUGAAGGUGAUUACUGAUAAUACAGUACAUCAGAAAUGUCCAGUAUUUGCAACACCUUUUCCAUUCCUUGUGUCACUGAUGAACUCUGCCUCAACCUUGCCUAUUUUUACAGAUUGAUAGGGCUGUAGAUGCUUUUGCCAGACGCCAUCCUCGGUUGUUUGAUGGGGAGACUCAUAAUCGGAUAGGUUUUAUCUGACCUGUUCAAACUUCAACAUAGUACCUGUUUGUGUGUCAGAUAUGACCUAUACUAACUGCCAUUGGUAAUAGAACAGUGACUAUAUGUGUAUGUGUUCACAGAAACAUGAAUGGAACCAGCACAUAGAGACUUGAGGAUGUGAUGACUGACAUACGGCUUGAUUCUGAUGUCUGUGAAUGGAAAGAGACCUGGCACUCGGCAUUAAAGUUUUACUAGACACAA
Oncorhynchus nerka (sockeye salmon) is the source of this 4117-nucleotide long non-coding RNA. RefSeq lists it as uncharacterized. The transcript is spliced from 2 exons. NCBI's taxonomy places the organism in Eukaryota, Metazoa, Chordata, Actinopteri, Salmoniformes, Salmonidae. The record is from RefSeq and is a predicted model, not a curated record.